RNAcentral lists this ribosomal RNA (493 nucleotides) under uncultured bacterium. RNAcentral describes it as "bacterial SSU rRNA". It matches the Rfam family "Bacterial small subunit ribosomal RNA", at positions 16 to 507 of the family's 1533-position model. The record is from RNAcentral.
AUCCUGGCUCAGGAUGAACGCUAGCCGGCAAGGCUUAAACACAUGCAAGUCGAGGGGUAUAGUUCUUCGGAACUAGAGACCGGCGCACGGGUGCGUAACGCGUAUGCAAUCUACCUUUUACAGAGGGAUAGCCCAGAGAAAUUUGGAUUAAUACCUCAUAGUAUGUGAGAAUCGCAUGGUUUCCACAUUAAAGUUCCAACGGUAAAAGAUGAGCAUGCGUCCCAUUAGCUAGAUGGUAAGGUAACGGCUUACCAUGGCGACGAUGGGUAGGGGUCCUGAGAGGGAGAUCCCCCACACUGGUACUGAGACACGGACCAGACUCCUACGGGAGGCAGCAGUGAGGAAUAUUGGACAAUGGGCGCAAGCCUGAUCCAGCCAUGCCGCGUGCAGGAUGACGGUCCUAUGGAUUGUAAACUGCUUUUGUACAGGAAGAAACACUCCCUCGUGAGGGAGCUUGACGGUACUGUAAGAAUAAGGAUCGGCUAACUCCGUG